Molecule: long non-coding RNA, 140 nt
Organism: Perca flavescens (yellow perch)
Lineage: Eukaryota; Metazoa; Chordata; Actinopteri; Perciformes; Percidae
Exons: 3
Source: RefSeq, a predicted model, not a curated record
UUUUCAUCGCUACCUACAAGUGUCCUCUGAAGAAAGAGGAUUCGGUUCUACAGCAAUGGCUGCAUUUGUUUGCAUCAUUAGGUGAUCGUGCAAAGAGCUGGGAUAACGUGGCUGUGUUAGUUGACGAAACUAUUAAACCA